Dicentrarchus labrax (European seabass) is the source of this 880-nucleotide long non-coding RNA. RefSeq lists it as uncharacterized. The transcript has 2 exons. Lineage: Eukaryota; Metazoa; Chordata; Actinopteri; Moronidae. The record is from RefSeq and is a predicted model, not a curated record.
UCUCUCUCUUUCCGUCUGUCCCUCCCGCACCAACAUAUCAAUACGUAUUUUACCAUCUGUCACCUUCAUCCUUGUUGAGGGAUUUGAAACUGCUGAGUCUAAUCCCCAGCCCUCGUCUUAGUGAGGUAGGUGCAUCAUAAGCAACCUGGCAUUUACUGCCUUCGCACCACACACACCCUUGUGGCUGGUGGCCUACUGAAUGCCGAGGGGGCACAAGCAUGGUGUAGGUGCGGAGACAAAAAGCCAAGAAUCUCCAUUUUGUGCGUGCAUCUUGUCUUCAUCUUUGAUUAAUCUUCUUGGAGAUAACUGAGGAAAACUUUAAUUUACUGCAUCAAACCACAAUAAAAUGGCUGACACAGAUGAAGCAGAGGGUGGCCAAGACCUGGAGGCUCCAGAGGAAGAGCUGGAUGAACAUGCUGCCUUGUUACAUUUGGGUAAAUACGGCGAAGCCCGGCGUGCGCUACCUUGGGAGCAGUGGACCUUCAGAGAAAGGGCAAACUUUUAUAUGGACCGCAUCUUCCUCGGCUUAUUGGUCAUUUUUCUCGUCAUGACUCUGGGAGAAUGUAGCUAUAAAGUGUGGUAUGUGACAAACGUGAAGAAGAUUGCAGUGUCUGUGGUAGAUUCAGUGGUCUCUCUGUUUGACUGGCUCCUCACCCAGGAGAGACAGGAGGAGCUGUUUGAACUGUAGGUUGUCAACAAACCACUCGAUUGUAUUCUCACUUUUUUGUGUUUCUACAGUGUUAUACACAGAUGUAAUAUUACAAAAAAAUCGGUAAAGAAUAAAUUUAUAGCUACAUCUUAACUUACAAUGACUAAUGGAUGAUUUCUGAAUAAUGCAUUGGAUGGAGAUUUAAUGGAAAUAAAUAAUUUAUGCAAUUAA